Molecule: small RNA, 121 nt
Filed under: human gut metagenome
Description: Ribosomal protein L10 leader
Rfam family: Ribosomal protein L10 leader
About the family: This family is a putative r-protein leader autoregulatory structure found in B. subtilis and other low-GC Gram-positive bacteria. It is located in the 5' untranslated regions of mRNAs encoding ribosomal proteins L10 and L12 (rplJ-rplL).
Source: RNAcentral
UUAAUUAUAAAGUACCAAAGACAGUAGGAGCUAAAUUUUAGCAUAACUGUAUUCCUACCGAGGACUAAGAAUUCAUAUUAAAGGAUUUUAAGGUCUUUGUGUCUUUGCAAAGACCUUUUAA